Molecule: ribosomal RNA, 497 nt
Filed under: uncultured bacterium
Lineage: Bacteria
Description: partial 16S ribosomal RNA
Rfam family: Bacterial small subunit ribosomal RNA
Source: RNAcentral
GAUGAACGCUGGCGGCGUGCCUAAUACAUGCAAGUCGAGCGAACAGACGAGGAGCUUGCCCCUCUGACGUUAGCGGCGGACGGGUGAGUAACACGUGGAUAACCUACCUAUAAGACUGGGAUAACUUCGGGAAACCGGAGCUAAUACCGGAUAAUAUAUUGAACCGCAUGGUUCAAUAGUGAAAGACGGUUUUGCUGUCACUUAUAGAUGGAUCCGCGCCGCAUUAGCUAGUUGGUAAGGUAACGGCUUACCAAGGCAAUGAUGCGUAGCCGACCUGAGAGGGUGAUCGGCCACACUGGAACUGAGACACGGUCCAGACUCCUACGGGAGGCAGCAGUAGGGAAUCUUCCGCAAUGGGCGAAAGCCUGACGGAGCAACGCCGCGUGAGUGAUGAAGGUCUUCGGAUCGUAAAACUCUGUUAUUAGGGAAGAACAAAUGUGUAAGUAACUAUGCACGUCUUGACGGUACCUAAUCAGAAAGCCACGGCUAACUACGUG